CGGAUCCAAAAGAGUACUCGCCUUCCAAGUGAGAAAACCACUGUUGUAUGAUACGGUCCUACGCAUCACAUGAACCGUGCCGUGCGCUACUUUUGUUCUGUCGUAACAUCAGCGACCAGGUGGCCGCAGGGAACCAUGCCGAAGAGGGAGUUCGAUACGCGACGCCAAAAGGCUUGUGGUGAUAAGUAAGGCACGAAUUCCGUCAUCUUCUCACAUUUGUCUGUAGACUCGAGAGUUACACUUCUUGUCUUCUUUGCUCAUUUGACAUUGGCUUGAUCCGCAGAGAACUGAAAGGUAAACAAAACUCCUCAGAUAUCUUCAAAAGAAACAAAAAAGUAUACGGAUUAAGAGAAAUAUUGAACUUAGAUGAAGCAUCGAAACCAUCACCAGUCGAUUGCAUUCCCAUGUGUUGAUGAAGAAUCGUACCAGCAUCUGCACCACCACCAAACGAACUACUUGCGCCUGUGUCAUGUAUAUUCCAAAUGAGGACCGACCUGAUCCCACAAUAAAACAUACCGAUGUGUUUAGAAAUGAUAACAUAUGAUCAGACGCAUGAUUUUUGAAGUUGUGUGUUGGAAACAGAAAUUUGCAUGAGAUAAACUAGGAGUAAAAAUAUGCAACAGCAGCAAAACGUCAUAAGAUGAUAGUGUCAACUCUUUCGAGGAAGUUUAUUAAGCUACCAACUUGGCUUGCAAAUCAAACACAAACCAACCAUAUUUUUUAGGAAAAUAGAUCAUGAUCAACCUUUUGCUUUUGGAAUAAUGCACUAUCUAUCCUCAAUAAAGGGCUGUAAUACCACCACAGGAAACAGAGGAUAUACUUCAAUCACAAAUCUCUUGAUGGCUAUGGGCCAAGAGCUGUACCCAACACAGGUAAUGAGAAAAUGGAAUUGGGUAGAAACUAGGAUGCUUAGAUCAAAAGCAUCAUAUCAGGUUUAAUUAUAAGAAAAUUGCUGCAAGCUUGUCCAUUACUAAACUAGACUCAUAUCUCAACAGAUGAGUGUCAAUCUACCUGGCAUCACGCAUUUCCUUUCAUUAACCAACCAGCACGGCAAAUCUCCUGGCAUCAGCAUCAGCCAUUUCCUUUCAUUAACCAAUCAGUAUGGCAAGUCUCAUGGCAUCAGCACCAUGCCAUAUGCCUAAUCGGUUCAGUUUAGUGUUCAGCUUCUGUAAUAUAUUCUAACAUGCAAAUAUUGUAUUAAAUUCAUGAUACCAAGCAAACAAUGUUAUAUACUAAGCAACCGUAUUUUCUAGCAAGUCCAAAGGUCAUGUUUCUUUUCAAUAAUUAUCAAGCUAGCCAGAAAAGCAGUGCAAAAUACGAAAAGCGAAAGUAUACCAACAUGUAUAGACAUAGAAUCAGAGAAGACCAGAUAAUAAAUAAAAAUUAUAUAUCUUUAUUGGAAAAAUUGGAAAGAAAUGGAAACUACCUCAAACUGUUCCAGGUUAGUGUAUGCUCUGCUGUACAGCUUGUUCGGCACGGUUCCGAAAUCCAUC
RNAcentral lists this long non-coding RNA (1493 nucleotides) under Musa acuminata (dwarf banana). RNAcentral describes it as "long non-coding RNA (MACU_LNC004459)". Lineage: Eukaryota; Viridiplantae; Streptophyta; Magnoliopsida; Zingiberales; Musaceae. The record is from RNAcentral.